This 460-nucleotide ribosomal RNA is filed under the name uncultured bacterium. Its description in RNAcentral is "partial 16S ribosomal RNA". It matches the Rfam family "Bacterial small subunit ribosomal RNA", at positions 338 to 795 of the family's 1533-position model. The record is from RNAcentral.
CCUACGGGGCGCAGCAGUGAGGAAUAUUGGUCAAUGGACGAGAGUCUGAACCAGCCAAGCCGCGUGAAGGAUGACUGCGCCAUGGGUUGUAAACUUCUUUUAUCUGGGAAUAAAGUGUUCCACGUGUGGGAUUUUGUAUGUACCAUAUGAAUAAGCAUCGGCUAACUCCGUGCCAGCAGCCGCGGUAAUACGGAGGAUCCGAGCGUUAUCCGGAUUUAUUGGGUUUAAAGGGUGCGUAGGUGGGUCGGUAAGUCAGUUGUGAAAGGUUGCGGCUCAACCGUAAAAUUGCAGUUGAAACUGGCAGUCUUGAGUACAGGAGAGGUAGGCGGAAUUCGUGGUGUAGCGGUGAAAUGCUUAGAUAUCACGAAGAACUCCGAUUGCGAAGGCAGCUCACUGGACUGCAACUGACACUGAGGCUCGAAAGUGUGGGUAUCAAACAGGAUUAGAUACCCGAGUAGUC